Pygocentrus nattereri (red-bellied piranha) is the source of this 587-nucleotide long non-coding RNA. Lineage: Eukaryota; Metazoa; Chordata; Actinopteri; Characiformes; Serrasalmidae. The record is from Ensembl.
CCAACGCCCCCUGUAUUAACCUGUUUGUAGACCCAGAGAAGGAUCUUUACCAGUACAGUGGCAUGAUGAAGAAACUGCUUGUUCGAGAGGCUGUUUCAUGCUCUCCCUGUGAUGCCACUCUAACUCUGGAGUCUUUUCAGGAGCAGGUAAGCCUGUCUGGACACCUGGAAAAGUUACAAGACACUGAGUGUGCAUCAUCAAGGCCAUGGUCACCAGGGCCCAUUUGGAACUCAGAGGAACAUCCUGAUGCGAAAAUAGACCUUUCCAGUGAGACGCUCCCAUCAUCUCCAAGCAGUGAAACCCCCACAGAGCAACCUGAAGACAAGAUGCCUGACUCAAAUAGCCUGGCCCUAUUUUCCGAUGAUGACACUCCAUCAUAAAGCCCCCUGCCCUUCCCAUAUACUCAUGUCUCUGAGUCUCUGCUGAAGAGAGCAAAUGCCUCCGUCUCUUUCUCACCCACUUAUGCUCAUGUGUCCUGCCCUGGAGAUGAAAAUAUCAGCGUCACCAUGCAUGGAGCAACCAGCCUGCCCCCGCUGAGAGAUGGAGGUACCCCACUGCCAUUUGCUAUUCUGUGAGUAACUGUAACA